Molecule: non-coding RNA, 21 nt
Filed under: Caenorhabditis elegans
Lineage: Eukaryota; Metazoa; Nematoda; Chromadorea; Rhabditida; Rhabditidae
Source: RNAcentral
UAAAGAAACCUUGGACUUUUA